CAGUAGCCGCGGGAAUACAGAGGGUGCGAGCGUUAAUCGGAUUUACUGGGCGUAAAGCGUGCGUAGGCGGCUUUUUAAGUCGGAUGUGAAAUCCCUGAGCUUAACUUAGGAAUUGCAUUUGAUACUGGGAAGCUAGAGUAUGGGAGAGGAUGGUAGAAUUCCAGGUGUAGCGGUGAAAUGCGUAGAGAUCUGGAGGAAUACCGAUGGCGAAGGCAGCCAUCUGGCCUAAUACUGACGCUGAGGUACGAAAGCAUGGGGAGCAAACAGGAUUAGAUACCCCUGUAGUCCCUGUCUCUUAUAC
This 301-nucleotide ribosomal RNA is filed under the name uncultured bacterium. Its description in RNAcentral is "partial 16S ribosomal RNA". It matches the Rfam family "Bacterial small subunit ribosomal RNA", at positions 509 to 807 of the family's 1533-position model. The record is from RNAcentral.